RNAcentral lists this ribosomal RNA (468 nucleotides) under uncultured bacterium. RNAcentral describes it as "partial 16S ribosomal RNA". It matches the Rfam family "Bacterial small subunit ribosomal RNA", at positions 28 to 507 of the family's 1533-position model. The record is from RNAcentral.
GACGAACGCUGGCGGCGUGCUUAACACAUGCAAGUCGAACGGAAAGGCCCUGCUUUUGUGGGGUGCUCGAGUGGCGAACGGGUGAGUAACACGUGAGUAACCUGCCCUUGACUUUGGGAUAACUUCAGGAAACUGGGGCUAAUACCGGAUAGGAGCUCCUGCUGCAUGGUGGGGGUUGGAAAGUUUCGGCGGUUGGGGAUGGACUCGCGGCUUAUCAGCUUGUUGGUGGGGUAGUGGCUUACCAAGGCUUUGACGGGUAGCCGGCCUGAGAGGGUGACCGGCCACAUUGGGACUGAGAUGCGGCCCAGACUCCUACGGGAGGCAGCAGUGGGGAAUAUUGCACAAUGGGCGGAAGCCUGAUGCAGCAACGCCGCGUGCGGGAUGACGGCCCUCGGGUUGUAAACCGCUUUCGCCUGUGACGAAGCGUGAGUGACGGUAAUGGGUAAAGAAGCACCGGCUAACUACGUG